This 468-nucleotide ribosomal RNA is filed under the name uncultured bacterium. Its description in RNAcentral is "partial 16S ribosomal RNA". It matches the Rfam family "Bacterial small subunit ribosomal RNA", at positions 28 to 507 of the family's 1533-position model. The record is from RNAcentral.
GACGAACGCUGGCGGCGCGCCUAACACAUGCAAGUCGAACGGAGCUGAGAGAAGCUUGCUUUUCUUAGCUUAGUGGCGAACGGGUGAGUAACGCGUGAGUAACCUGCCCUGGAGUGGGGGACAACAGCUGGAAACGACUGCUAAUACCGCAUAAGCCCACGAUCCGGCAUCGGCUUGAGGGAAAAGGAUUUAUUCGCUUCAGGAUGGACUCGCGUCCAAUUAGCUAGUUGGUGAGGUAACGGCCCACCAAGGCGACGAUUGGUAGCCGGACUGAGAGGUUGAGCGGCCACAUUGGGACUGAGACACGGCCCAGACUCCUACGGGAGGCAGGAGUGGGGGAUAUUGCACAAUGGGGGGAACCCUGAUGCAGCGACGCCGCGUGGAGGAAGAAGGUUGUCGGAUAGUAAACUCCUGUCGUUAGGGACGGUAAUGACGGUACCUAACAAGAAAGCACCGGCUAACUACGUG